UACGUAGGGGGCAAGCGUUGUCCGGAUUUAUUGGGCGUAAAGAGCGUGUAGGCGGCCAGGUAGGUCGGUUGUGAAAACUGGAGGCUCAACCUUCAGAGGUCGACCGAAACCAUCUGGCUAGAGUCCGGGAGAGGAGAGUGGAAUUCCUGGUGUAGCGGUGAAAUGCGCAGAUAUCAGGAAGAACACCCGUGGCGAAAGCGGCUCUCUGGAACGGUACUGACGCUGAGGCGCGAAAGCGUGGGGAGCGAACAGG
This 253-nucleotide ribosomal RNA is filed under the name uncultured bacterium. RNAcentral's name for it is "partial 16S ribosomal RNA". It matches the Rfam family "Bacterial small subunit ribosomal RNA", at positions 524 to 776 of the family's 1533-position model. The record is from RNAcentral.